GUGAAACAAAUAUUCAUCAAAAUGAAACAUUGACGUAGAAUUAUUCUUGAAAAACACGUACGGUAUAUCUAAUAUGUGCAUUGAUUACGUAGCAAAUAGGUGUACGCUAUAAGAAGAUUCAGCUUAAUAAGAAAAUUCAACUUAUGUUUUUAUAAAUUCAUUUAUAUUUGUUUAAGAUAUUAUAAUCAUAAUUUAUCCAUUUCUAAUAAUAGGUACAAUCUUUAAUAAUUUUACAAUUUUAAUCAUAUAUUAAGAGAUUUCGUUAAUAAUUCGAUAUAUAUAUAUAUAUAUAUAUAUAUAUAUAUAUAAUACCGUGAUAAAAAAACAAUUGAUAUCAGGUAUAUAUAAUCAUUUUAGAUACACAUUUAUGAAGAUAAAGUUAUCGAGACAUUAUUAAACACGUAUAAAAGUAAUGUUUCUUGUGUAAAAUUAUAAGAAUUAAAUUUAAAUUUCGAAUACUGAAUUUAGGUUAGGUUGUUCUAUAUUAGAUUUUAUAUUUUUAUAAAAAAACGACCUAAAUGAUAAAAAUUUUUUAUUAGCAAUAUUGCUUAUGAAAUAAAAUUAUUAAUGAAAACGAUUACUACAAUAUUUCAAGGAAAAUUUCAUUCACAUUCGAAUAGCUUGUGACUAUAUUCGAUGUACCAUCUGUAUCCUCGUACAAGUAUAAUAAACAUACUAAAACUAUCCACUCAACGAGUUACGAAAAUAACAGCGUGAACAGAAGCAGAAAUUUUCACUAACGAAUUAUUUUUGUAUCACUUUUGUAUUUUGCUAAUAUUAAAAUAUUAUAAUAAAUAUUAUAUUUUCAUCAAAUAAAAAAAUAUUUAUGUUUUAAAUCAACAAAAUAUUGCUUAUUCAAAAUUUAUCAUCUUAACUUAUACACAUUUAUAAAAGCGGUCGACAACUGUUAAGCAAUCGAAAAUAUUCAAUUUCAUAAAAUUCAGAGUAUUACGCGUUUAUGACAAUACUUAUUCAUUAUGGUUUAUUUGAAAUUACGUAUCGAGGUCACUGAUUCGCGUGACUAAGGUAUCCAAGAAUGCACAAGAUCUCCCGUGGCUGGUUAGAGUGCUCUAGAACGCUGAAGAUCAAGAGAGCAAAGAGUCGGUUUAAACCGUGUGCCCCGUCCUAACGUCGACUCUAUUAAUACCCGCGCCUUGUCGUCGCGUCUCGAGAACGUGUGCACAGAUAUAGAAGCAUUAAUACGACUGUCCUUUUUAUUAAAAAAUCUUCUGUUCUUAGCAUCGACAAAUCGAACAAUCAUUUUCGAGUUGAUCUCGAUAGUACGAAUAGUAUAUGAGAGAAGAUAAAUAAAUCGAAUACUAGAAAAUAAUCGAAACAAUUUUAACGCUUUAAAAAUCGAGGCAAAAUUGCGACGACAUGAUCUUCGAUAUGAACUCGACAAACGAAAGAAAGGAGUUGCAGCUUUAACAGGACAUGUCGUAGAUGUCGUAUAAGUGCAUUCGCAGUCAAUUAUGUGAUCAGCUACGACCAUUCGCUUCAUGAAGCUAUUAGGAACAAGUUAAUAGAAUCAUCGCACCGUACUAAUGUACGAUGGGUUAUGGUAAACAGAAAGAGGAAAAGGUACAAACUGUUGCAAUUCUAACUUAGCCUACAGAUGUCGUACGAGGUCUCAAGCUCGAUCGAGUCAGUGCAAAUACUUAAUCGACAAUGUCAUUUCACCCUUGUGAAAAGUUCCUUCACCGAUUCGAAUCGAUAAUUGAUUAAAAGAUCGCUGUCAAAGUACAACUAUAUUUAGCGAUUUGUUGGACAAGUCUUAAAUUAGAAAUGCAACAAUACUGAGCAAAAAAAAAAAGAAAAAAGGUUAUUUCCCGAGGACGGAUACACCCUAACCAUAAAUUCUAUUUUCUUCAUAUUCACUCACCUUUGAUGAUAAAAAUUUAAAGGCGAUUCACGUCUCGUGAGAUUAAAAAUAUCAGCAGCAGGAGAUCAAUCGGGCGACCACGGUCCAAGAAGGAAGAUUAUUAAAUGAUUGCUGCAACGACUUAGAAGGUGGAAAAAAGAUUUCAAACAUAGACGCCAUGAUGAUAAUUGAUGUUUUAGAGACUAGAGAAGGAACAUCUCGUGUGAUGCUACUAACCUUCUCUCGACCAGUGAUCGAUAUUCAAAUGAAAUUCCACAAGUAGAUCGAAAAGAGGAGCAAUAUGUAGUUUACGAAUAUAGACGACAUAACCUAAAUCAGUCAGUACUGCAAUUGCGACAAUGCCGAUGGCUGUGAAUCGCGGAAGGAGGACGACAGACGACCAUGCCUGACGACAGGAAUAUAGAAGAAAAGAACGAAAAGGAAAGGAAACGUGAAAAGCUAUUACAUUAAGGAGAUUGCAUUUACCUAGAAUGCAUACCUCUUACUUCACUGUGCAGCACUCUGGUAUACUGGAUAUUAAACUUAAUUUAUUUUGCCAAUGUUUAGUAUCAAGGAGGAUCGUACAAUUCACACAAUUCGAUUUAUCUUCAUUUACUCGAAGCACUCCAUUUGUUAAAUCGAACAGAAAUAUUAUUCUCAACUAUAAUUAAUUAAAAAGUUCAAGCCGAUGUUCAAAUUUUAAAAUAUUAUUUAAAUUUUUAAUCAUUAUAAUAUCAAUAAUAUCACUAAAUAAAUUUUAUUUAAUUUUUUUGAAAAAUUACAUAAAUAUUUUUUUAUAAUUAUAUAUAUAAUUUUUUCAGUUAUUUUUAUCAUAUAGUUUAUAGUAUGUAAUGUGUAUAUUCCGUUUCCAUAGAUGGUCAAGUAUUCGAUCAACAGAGUUUAGAUAGAUGAAUGUAAUGUCUGAUGCUAUAGUAUGCAUCGGUUACUUUCGCAAUUAAUCAAAAGUUUCUCGUAAUAGUGAAUGAACUUGCUAAAUUAAGGAUAAAUUAGCGUAUAACGUGACCUCGUAUCUGGUUAUCAAUCUCUUAUUAAUCUCAUCGAAGUUCGAAAAACUAUAUAACAUCGUAUUAACUGUACUUAUCGUAACAUAUUAUCGAUAGAACAUUUCACAUUAUAUCGAAUUCAUAUGAUAUAUUGUAGAUUUUAAUGCUUCUUCAAACUAUGGGAGAUUAAUCUGUAACUACAUACAAAAGAUAAACCAUCAUCUUCUGCUACAACUUGUCUUUAUAUUUUGCACAUACAUACUUCAAAAACUUAUCUUUUGUGACCAGAGAAAAAAUGUGUACCACGUGCACACAUUUUUGUACGCUUUCUAUGGACCCAACUGCGCGAGAGGUAAAUGAAAGGAUGUUUGUGCGUGUGCAAUGGCUGUGCACCAUAUAUAUAUGUACCUCAGAUGUGCUAAGUCAAGGUAAUGAUAAGCUCUGUAUUUUUUAUCGUAAACGUUAUAAACAUUUUUUAUAAAAAAAAAGAAUUUUCUCUCCAACCAUCUAUUUUUUCAAACACAGAGGAUUAAAAUUUAACGAAUGUUGUUUAAAUUCAAACUUCAAAGAAACGACGCUCGCCGCACGCGCUAACCUAAUAUGUACACUGCACGGUUUCACACUUGUUUUUAUUCAUUUCGUUCAUAGAUACAAAGUUUCUUGCCAUUUUAUCUCGUAAAAUUAUUGUUUCGUAUUAAUAUGUGGCAAUGAUAAAAGAGCAAACGUGUACAAUUCGUAUACAAUUGAGGUGGGUAUUAUAUUUCUGUUUUUAAUUUCAAUCGUACGAAAAUAUUAAGAGGGAAGGGGAUUGUAUUUUCAGAAUUAUCAGGCGAAUCAAAUUAAGUCAUGGCAAUGCCAUUUCUUCGAAAUUGUCGUAAAUAAAUGAAAAAUAUUAAAAUGGGAAAGGGCAGUCAAUUUAAAUUUAAACGCAAUCGAAUUAAUCUACAUCGUCAAUUAUACAUUUUUUUUAACACAUUUAUCUUUUCCCUCUGGCAUACUAUUUCUAAUUGCAAUCAACGAUAAUAACUGCAACGAAGACGAAUGUAAUUUUGUUUUUUAUAAUUUCUCCCUUUUAUAGCUUUAAUCGAACGCGAUACGUAACGAGAAAUAUUAACCUGUUCCAGUUUAUGGGAUUGGAGAAAAAGAUAAAAUAUGGAAAAUAAACGUAAGCAUAAUGGAAGAAUCGAAGGUGGAAAGCGGGAUAAAAACGGAUGGAAAAUACGGUCAAUAAUAUUUUUCAUGCGAAGAAUUUAAACUGUCAGUAAGAAACUUUGCGCAAUAGGAUUUCGACUCGUCUUCGAUACGAUAAAGGCUAAUUUUCUACGAAAGUUUGCACGACAGGUUGACAAGCCAACUUUCUUCUAUUAUCUCUAUCCAUGCACGCAUGCAUACUAAACGCGUGGAAAUAUAAAAGAAGGUAACUUUAUAUUCUUGGCGAAACAUUUUUAUAGAAUUAUAGCUAUCGUCACGUAUCGAUCAUUGGAAAGAGAGUUGUGAAUUAAUUUUGAAAUUGUACCUAUUAUAAACUUUAUCGAGUUUAUCGGUUUCGUGUAACGAAUUUAAUGAUAAAAUAUUAUACAUGCCAUGUUCUACAAUAUUAUUUACGGGAAUGUGCAAGACCUUUGAUCAAUUCAUGUUUGAUGCGAAAUUGUAAAAUUGUAAAGAAGGAGUAAGAAUGACAAAUUUGAUGAUAGAACGAAAUGGGAAAGUAUAUCUUUGAUUUGUAUUUAUUUGAAAAUAAAAAAAAUUGUAAAAAAAUUAUGAAAGAAAAAUCUAGAUUUUUAAACAAAAUUAUAUGAAAUUUAUGGUUGAUUUACGAAAAAAAUCAAAAUCAAAAUAAAAAUUUGUCUUUCUUUUCAUUAAUUUAAUUCUUAAAAUUUCAAUAUGUAUAUUCAAGAGAGAUAUUCAAUCGUAAGUAAAAAUAUUUUUUAAGUAAUGUAAUAAUUGCAUAAUGUAAUAAUUACUAAUUUCCACGCAUGAUUAAAGAAACGAAAAGAAAAGAAUAAGUUUAAAUAACAAUAACAAUAAUAAUUACACAAUAAGAUCUGGUAAAUUAAAUUUUUAAAAUUCCAAUGCACAUAUUCAAUCAUAUAAGAUAAAAAUACUAUUUCAAACAAAUAGCACAAUAAUUGUAGUCAAUUUUCACAUCGCACACAAUUAGAGAAACAUGAGGUAGCAUUGUGGCAAGCGCGUUGUUUGAUGGAAACGUUCGAAACAAAAGUGAAUACGAGGAUAGAGAGGCGAGAAGAAAGAAAGAGAGAAAGAAAUAAAGAAAAGAGCAGGAAGAAGGGGGAGGGGAGGAGGAGACAUGUAGAGGGCGCUAAAUCGAGGAAAUACGGUAAGCACCGGCACAUGGCAUGUCUUGUUCCUGUGGUAAAAAGUGUACAGGCUGCGAAAUGACUUUUUGCCCGUGGGCUCGAAACGGUGAAGGGUUGAACGAUCGCCUCCAGCCAACCAGAGUACAUUUUGGAUCUUUUUUUUCUUUCUUUCUUUCUUUCUUUUUCGGCUUAAGUUGACCUUACGCGUUAGAAGAGAAAGUUUGGAUCGUUCGUUAAGUUGUACAGGCUAUACAUACACUCGGAAUUACGACACUUUCCGUUCGUAAUUUUCCAUCCCUUUCUUUCCUCUUACUGCUAUUUACUCUUAAUUAACAGCGAUCCACCCGUGUUUUUCUAUCCGACAAAUUUUUUUUUCCUCCCUCUAAUUUUCUCUCGUUCGCUCCUUAUUUCGAACUCAAUGUUUCUACGUUUACACUUAUUUACGAUAUUUUUGUUUUGGAUGAUACUGCAGGAUUGAAACGAAUUUUUUUAACGUGCUUUUCCAAGAUCAAUUAUUUAUGAGUUAAUGUAAAUGAUUACGAUUGGAAAAAUUUUAAUAUAUGAUGUUAUCAAAGUCGAAGAUUUGAGGUUAGGAAAAUUCGAACAAAUUGAUCAUGAUUAAAAAAAUUUUAUUAUAUAGUGUUAAAUCACCAAAAUUAAAAAUUUGACAUUAGAAAAAAAAGAUAACUAGUAAAUCUAAGUAAAACUAGUCAUCUAAGAAUUAACAUAAUUAGUAAUAAUCGAAAAAAUUCCAACGAAUAAUAAAUAUUUCAUGAAAAUCAAAGGAACGACAUAUUUCAUAUUUCUUGUCGACUUAAAAGUCGAUUCAAUAUUUUUUAUUGCCAAUAUAAUAAUAGGAAAUUUUCCUUUUUUUCUUUUACUUCUUCGUUAUUUCCUGCAUUCGUAUCGUAUCUCAUGCAUAAUCUCCCAUAAUGCAUGCAUUAUGAUGUACAAAAGAGGUAUUCGUAGAUCGAACGAGCGUCGAAGCGAAUCGAAAGGACGAUAUAAAACAAUAAUUGCCGAUAUACACCAUCCAUUAAAGAUACUUGUCAUGAAGUAUGCAGGUUGGGUACAAAUAGAGGUGAUUUUUGGCGCGGUUUCUCUUACGAUGCCAUCGAAAAACUGUCGGACUAGUUGAGUAGCGAUAGACAUUUACCGAUGGCCUGUCAAAAAUUCAUUUUCGCGCUUUUCACCUGUCAAUACGCGUUACUGUAUGCAUUCCAUCCCCACGUUCUCUCGUUAUUUACAAAUCGAAUUUUAUGUAAGAAAAUUCUAAUUUUUAUAUGGAAUAUGAAAUAUGGAACAUGAUGUAAUUUUAAAAUUUUGAUCGAUGUUUCAUCAUUGUGUUAUCAAAAUUUUACGUGACCAAAAUUGAGAUAGAAUUUAAAUCCUAUAAAUGUUUCAUCGAGAUUUCCAUGGACGAUUAAUUAAAAUUUCCACAACGUUCAUUACUAUUAGCAACACAAUUACCGAUCUAUCGAUCAAUCUUCACUGAACAAUAUGUAAUAAACAGAAUAACCAUGAUCGACUUCUUAUCUAUGAACAAUGUUCAAUCGAUAAUAAUUGUCUUUUCUUUUUCGAAUAAAAAAUAACGGAAAAAAAAAGAAAGAAAAUUGUUAAACACAAUAUCAAAAAUUUGGAAUCACUUUCAAUUUUCUGUUAUUUUGUAAUUAAAUCGAAUAUCUCAAACAUCGACAAACAUUAUUUUUUUUAACAAAUUUAAAAAAAAAAUACACCAAUAUAGUACCCAGAUUUAAUUUUCAUUUCAAUUCUCAAAUUCCAUUAA
This is a long non-coding RNA of Apis cerana (Asiatic honeybee), 6969 nucleotides long. RefSeq lists it as uncharacterized. The record is from RefSeq and is a predicted model, not a curated record. Lineage: Eukaryota; Metazoa; Arthropoda; Insecta; Hymenoptera; Apidae.